UUGAACGCUGGCGGCAUGCUUUACACAUGCAAGUCGAACGGCAGCGCGGGCUUCGGCCUGGCGGCGAGUGGCGAACGGGUGAGUAAUACAUCGGAACGUGCCCAGUAGUGGGGGAUAGCUCGGCGAAAGCCGGAUUAAUACCGCAUACGACCUGAGGGUGAAAGCGGGGGAUCUUCGGACCUCUCGCUCUUGGAGCGGCCGAUGGCAGAUUAGCUAGUUGGUGGGGUAAAGGCCUACCAAGGCGACGAUCUGUAGCUGGUCUGAGAGGACGACCAGCCACACUGGGACUGAGACACGGCCCAGACUCCUACGGGAGGCAGCAGUGGGGAAUUUUGGACAAAGGGCGAAAGCCUGAUCCAGCAAUGCCGCGUGUGUGAUGAAGGCCUUCGGGUUGUAAAGCACUUUUGGCGGGAACGAAAAGGACUGUGCCAAUACCACGGUUCGAUGACGGUACCCGCAGAAUAAGCACCGGCUAACUACGUG
This 483-nucleotide ribosomal RNA is filed under the name uncultured bacterium. RNAcentral's name for it is "partial 16S ribosomal RNA". It matches the Rfam family "Bacterial small subunit ribosomal RNA", at positions 29 to 507 of the family's 1533-position model. The record is from RNAcentral.